CCUACGGGAGGCAGCAGUAGGGAAUCUUCCGCAAUGGACGAAAGUCUGACGGAGCAACGCCGCGUGAGUGAAGAAGGUUUUCGGAUCGUAAAACUCUGUUGUCAGGGAAGAACAAGUACGGGAGUAACUGACCGUACCUUGACGGUACCUGGCCAGAAAGCCACGGCUAACUACGUGCCAGCAGCCGCGGUAAUACGUAGGUGGCAAGCGUUGUCCGGAAUUAUUGGGCGUAAAGCGCGCGCAGGCGGCCUUUUAAGUCUGAUGUGAAAGCCCCCGGCUCAACCGGGGAGGGUCAUUGGAAACUGGAAGGCUUGAGUGCAGAAGAGAAGAGCGGAAUUCCACGUGUAGCGGUGAAAUGCGUAGAGAUGUGGAGGAACACCAGUGGCGAAGGCGGCUCUUUGGUCUGUAACUGACGCUGAGGCGCGAAAGCGUGGGGAGCGAACAGGAUUAGAUACCCUGGUAGUCCACGCCGUAAACGAUGAGUGCUAAGUGUUGGGGGGUUUUCCGCCCCUCAGUGCUGCAGCUAACGCAUUAAGCACUCCGCCUGGGGGNAGUACNGCCGCAAGGCUGAAACUCAAAUGAAUUGACGGGG
RNAcentral lists this ribosomal RNA (592 nucleotides) under uncultured Bacillus sp. RNAcentral's name for it is "bacterial SSU rRNA". It matches the Rfam family "Bacterial small subunit ribosomal RNA", at positions 338 to 918 of the family's 1533-position model. Lineage: Bacteria; Bacillati; Bacillota; Bacilli; Caryophanales; Bacillaceae. The record is from RNAcentral.